UCACAGGUGCUGCAAGUUCACGGGUGUGAUC
This 31-nucleotide non-coding RNA is filed under the name Mus musculus (house mouse). Lineage: Eukaryota; Metazoa; Chordata; Mammalia; Rodentia; Muridae. The record is from RNAcentral.